RNAcentral lists this ribosomal RNA (482 nucleotides) under uncultured bacterium. Its description in RNAcentral is "partial 16S ribosomal RNA". It matches the Rfam family "Bacterial small subunit ribosomal RNA", at positions 30 to 507 of the family's 1533-position model. The record is from RNAcentral.
AUUGAACGCUGGCGGCAUGCUUUACACGUGCAAGUCGAACGGUAACAGGCCGCAAGGUGCUGACGAGUGGCGAACGGGUGAGUAAUGCAUCGGAACGUGCCCAGUCGUGGGGGAUAACUACUCGAAAGAGUAGCUAAUACCGCAUACGAUCUAUGGAUGAAAGCGGGGGACCGUAAGGCCUCGCGCGAUUGGAGCGGCCGAUGUCAGAUUAGGUAGUUGGUGGGGUAAAGGCUCACCGAGCCAACGAUCUGUAGCUGGUCUGAGAGGACGACCAGCCACACUGGGACUGAGACACGGCCCAGACUCCUACGGGAGGCAGCAGUGGGGAAUUUUGGACAAUGGGCGCAAGCCUGAUCCAGCAAUGCCGCGUGCAGGAAGAAGGCCUUCGGGUUGUAAACUGCUUUUGUACGGAACGAAACGGCUCUGGUUAAUACCCGGGGCUAAUGACGGUACCGUAAGAAUAAGCACCGGCUAACUACGUG